GGUCAAGCUACUAAGGGCGAUCGGUGGAUGACUAGGCGUUGAGAGGCGAUGAAGGACGUGGCUAGCUGCGUUAAGCUUCGGGGAGCCGCUAAACAGGCUAUGAGCCGGAGAUUUCCGAAUGGGGCAACCCAUCCAGGGUAAUGCCUGGAUAUCGUGCACUGAAUACAUAGGUGUACGAGGCGAACGGGGAGAAGUGAAACAUCUCAGUACCCCCAGGAAGAGAAAUCAAUUGAGAUUCCCUCAGUAGCGGCGAGCGAACGGGGAAGAGCCUAAACCGUUUCGGUGUAAGCCGGCCAGCGUUGCCGGAGCGGGGUUGUGGGGCCAGUUUGGAGAGGAUGGCCGUCCUCUCGGAAAGUUACCAACCGCUUAUCUAGGUGAAGGGUCUGGAAAGGCCCACCAUAGAAGGUGACAGUCCUGUAGGCGAAAGGUAAGCGGCUUUCUGGAACUGGUUCCCAAGUACCACGGGACACGUGGAACCCCGUGGGAAGCUGGGUGGACCAUCAUCCAAGGCUAAAUACUCCUCAACGACCGAUAGUGAACUAGUACCGUGAGGGAAAGUUGAAAAGAACCGCGGGAGCGGAGUGAAAUAGAACCUGAAACCGAUCGCUUACAAGCUGUGGAAGGACGAUAGCGAGCUUCGGCUUGCUCGUCUGACUGCGUGCCUUUUGCAUAAUGAGUCAGCGACUUACUCUUGGUGGCGAGGUUAAGCCGUAAGGUGGAGCCGUAGCGAAAGCGAGUCUUAAUAGGGCGUAUUAGUCGCCAGGAGUAGACCCGAAGCCGGGUGAUCUAUCCAUGGCCAGGGUGAAGUUCGGUUAACACCGAAUGGAGGCCCGAACCGGUUAACGUUGAAAAGUUAUCGGAUGAGCUGUGGAUAGGAGUGAAAGGC
This 886-nucleotide ribosomal RNA is filed under the name Anaerolineales bacterium. Its description in RNAcentral is "partial 23S ribosomal RNA". It matches the Rfam family "Bacterial large subunit ribosomal RNA", at positions 1 to 829 of the family's 2925-position model. Lineage: Bacteria; Bacillati; Chloroflexota; Anaerolineae; Anaerolineales. The record is from RNAcentral.